AGUAUGAGAUGAUGCUUUUGCCAUUGUCACUGAAGUGAGCAUCCGCCUCCAGCACCUUCCUAUAUCACUGCUGCCCAAUACAGAAGUCUGGUUUGUUCUGAGUUAAUCUGCGAUGAGUUUGGAAAAAUUUACUCAUCUCUACUUUUCUGAUUCCUACCAUCAUGUUGAACCUGCAGUGGGAAAAUAACGGAGUACCUUUAUUAGGACCAUCUGAAAGUAACACAUUUUCUUCAUCUAUUAUUACACCCUGACAGUUCUCUUGCAACAUGCUGAUGAGCUGCAGAACAUAGUUUGGGAACUCCUAAAGAUGUGGAAAUGGAAUAUAAGGGCAUAGGAUCAGGACCGAGAUAAUCACCGUGUUAUUAAAAUCAAAUAAAAAUUGAGUUGAUUA
Long non-coding RNA from Hemicordylus capensis (graceful crag lizard), 391 nucleotides. RefSeq lists it as uncharacterized. The transcript is spliced from 2 exons. The record is from RefSeq and is a predicted model, not a curated record. NCBI's taxonomy places the organism in Eukaryota, Metazoa, Chordata, Lepidosauria, Squamata, Cordylidae.